This 253-nucleotide ribosomal RNA is filed under the name uncultured bacterium. RNAcentral describes it as "partial 16S ribosomal RNA". It matches the Rfam family "Bacterial small subunit ribosomal RNA", at positions 524 to 776 of the family's 1533-position model. The record is from RNAcentral.
UACAGAGGUCUCAAGCGUUGUUCGGAUUCAUUGGGCGUAAAGGGUGUGUAGGCGGUUAUGUUAGUCUCGCGUCAAAUUCUUCGGCUUAACCGGGGGCUCGCGUGGGAAACGGCAUAACUAGAGGAUGGGAGAGGUAUAUGGAACUCAUAGUGUAGGGGUGAAAUCCGUUGAUAUUAUGGGGAACACCAAAUGCGAAGGCAAUAUACUGGCCCACUCCUGACGCUGAAACACGAAAGCGUGGGUAGCGAAUGGG